AUUUAUAAAGAUUCACUUAAACCAUAAAUUGAAAUAUUAAUGCAGACCAUGUUUACUGAAGAAAGAAUAUUCUUCUUUAUUUUAGUGGGGCCUAUAUGGUUAUAUGUUGUUCAUUUUUGCCUGCUCUCAGUAGGCAAACUUUAUGUGGAAGGGAAGGAAAGGGAAGGCUUGUAUCACUGCAGGCUAUGCACUUGUUCAAUUUUUUACUGUAAAGCUUUUUGUUUGCUGACAGCCUAAAGACAUUGAUAAUGCAUGAAGGAUGUUCCUCCACAAAUGGUAUGACACAGAAUAGCAAUCUCUCGAGCAGGACACUUCCUGAUUUUACAGCAGCAAAAAAAAAAACAAAAAAAAUCUGUGUAUAAAUAAGAAGUUUCCCCAUCCGGCAUCAGAGCUUUCUGUGUCUGAGCUACGAUGUCUGGAAAUCUAGUCUACGCUGAUUUGGAAUUCCCGAAGUCAAGGUCAACCUCACAGCACACUAGUUCUUCUCAGUGUCCACGCUGGCAUUGGAUUGCUUUAGGACUUAGCUUGGUUAUUAACAUCAUCCUGAUGGGAACAGUCAUAGGUCUGGCUUUACAGGUAAAAGAGAACAGCGGAGAAGCCCUGGCUGCCAAACAGUCAGAGUCGACUCAGGAAGGCAGCUGCUCCUGCCCAGAGGAUUUCAAGGCCUCCAAGAUAAAUCAUUUAUGUACCUCACAGCAAUGCAGCACAAAAGGAGAUGCAGCUAUUUCAAAGUCUUCCUACAUUCUGCAGGGAAGUCAUGGCAGACUACACAGCAAUCUCCAGAGCAGAGGCACUUUGUGGAAAAAACCUCUGCACCCUGCCUAGUCACGCCACAGGCAGCAGUCCACGUGGAGGUCCAUCAGACGGCCAUUCUGCCCCUCUGCCUCAAGGUCCCAAACCAGGCAUGGGACUUCAUUGAGAUACAGUGGUUCUCUGCCAGGGGAAAUCACAGUAUCCUGCUCUAUCAAUUGAAUAACUGCACCAGAGAAGACCCCAAUUGGUGGCAGCGCCACUGCAAAGCCAGCACAGAUAUAAGAGCAGAGCAUCGCCUACGGAUGACCGUCCUGCCAAACGGCUCGCUGAGGAUCUGUAAAGUGCAGGCUGAGGAUGCUGGAACAUACCGCGUGAUAGUGAAAGGCAAAGACAUGACUGACACCACUGGGCAAGUGAACCUAACUGUGACAGGAAGGUAACACAGUCUGAUUCUUCACCUGCUCCGAGCCACCCCAAGACGACAACACAGGACAGACUGGCCACCCCAUGCUGAUCUCUGCUCCCUGGUGCAGCUCCUGGCCCAUCAGUCCAUCUGCUCCAGUUCUAUCCCCCGUAGGCACCCAAGUUAGGGGCACCUACAGUGCACUGGGGCAGUUGCACAACAUUGCAGUAAGGCUGGAAAAUCCCAGCCUGGACACCCAGACCCUUGAGCAUGACACUUUAGGCACCAUGAUCCCAGCCUUAAUGCAGUUGCUCAGGUGAUGCUCAGCCAGCAGGGGUCAUGUGAUAAACCAGAAAUGAAUGGAGAGCGCUCCCAAAGGACUAAGCCUGGUCUCAAACAGUAUAUUUUUCAUGGUGUGAAUUAAGUGUCUUUGUUUUUUGUGUGAUAA
Alligator mississippiensis (American alligator) is the source of this 1604-nucleotide RNA transcript. RefSeq lists it as uncharacterized. The transcript is spliced from 6 exons. Lineage: Eukaryota; Metazoa; Chordata; Crocodylia; Alligatoridae. The record is from RefSeq and is a predicted model, not a curated record.